RNAcentral lists this ribosomal RNA (393 nucleotides) under Triticum aestivum (bread wheat). RNAcentral describes it as "partial small subunit ribosomal RNA". The record is from RNAcentral. Lineage: Eukaryota; Viridiplantae; Streptophyta; Magnoliopsida; Poales; Poaceae.
AUGCUCCUGGCGACGUUCGCGGUGAGCAUCACGUACGUCGCCGGGCUGAGCACGCCGGGCGGCUUCUGGGACAGCAUCGGGGGCAGCCACCACCCAGGCGACGCCAUUCUCAAGGACAAGCACAGCCCACGCCUCAUGGUGUUCAUUCUCUGCAACACCACGGCUUUCGUGGCGUCCCUGCUCAUCACCAUGGUGCUCAUCAUUGACGGGAAGAAGCUCGGCAAGAAGAAGAUGGUUCGGUCUCGCAUACUCUGCGGGUGCAUCGUCAUCGCCCUGGUCGGUCUCGUCGCCGCAUACGUCGCGGGCAGCUGCACGGAGACCGACACCACCGUCUACGUGGUCUCCCUGGUUGGCGCCGUUGUGGCAUACAUCAUGCUCCAACUCUAUGACUAA